CCUUCACAGGGCGGAAGGUGAAAUUCCGUGUGCUUAGCAGAGGACAAUUCAAACGGGUGUCCAGCAGAGAUGGUCAGGACCUCAGCCCGCAGCUAUGAGAAGGGGUCCUCCGGGUGGAGGGAAGAGUCUAGCCCCGCAGGCGAGGCGGGGAAGCAGAGGCGUGCUUCCAAGACGUCCAGAGGCGCGAUCAGGAUAUAUAUGAUCACAUUUUAACUUAGUCUGCAACAUGUACUGAAUAAAAAGAAGAUAGUGCAAAGCAAUUCUCCAACACAGUAAAAGAUGUAUUAAUCUUUUCCCUGGUACCUACUAUUUUCUAGAGGCUGUGAAAAUUGGGGCAGGAAAAGGUUUAUU
This 351-nucleotide long non-coding RNA is filed under the name Homo sapiens (human). Its description in RNAcentral is "HSALNT0338561". Lineage: Eukaryota; Metazoa; Chordata; Mammalia; Primates; Hominidae. The record is from RNAcentral.